AGAGUUUGAUCAUGGCUCAGGAUGAACGCUAGCGACAGGCCUAACACAUGCAAGUCGAGGGGCAGCGGAGAGGUAGCAAUACCUUUGCCGGCGACCGGCGCACGGGUGAGUAACACGUAUGCAAUCCACCUGUAACAGGGGGGAUAACCCGGGAGAAAUCCGGACUAAUACCCCCAUAAUAUGGGCGCUCCGCAUGGAGAGCCCAUUAAAAGAGAGCAAUUUUGGUUACAGACGAGCAUGCGCUCCA
This 247-nucleotide ribosomal RNA is filed under the name uncultured bacterium. RNAcentral's name for it is "partial 16S ribosomal RNA". It matches the Rfam family "Bacterial small subunit ribosomal RNA", at positions 8 to 240 of the family's 1533-position model. The record is from RNAcentral.